GUUUACAGAAGAGUCUGACCACUUAUGGAAGAAACACUGCCAGAGGGAUUUUAAAAAUGAGAGCCUCCUGGAAUAUGAAUGUUGGCGGGAAAUGUACUUGCGACUUUUCAAUGAAAGAGAAGAAAAGCUGAAGAUGCUUACAAAAAACAUUCUUUCAGCUCAGUCUGAGAAACCGAAAGGUAAUAUCUGUGGACAGCUUUUCAGUUCUCAAAGCUCAGUCUCUUCUGUUUUUUUUGAGACUUACUAUGUGGGGCUUAGUGACAUGUUCGCUCUAAUCACUGAUGCUGUAUAUCUAGGAGAAGGCAUCAAGUAAGGAGGCUGUUUAUAUAUUAAUAUAAAUUGCACACAAAAUGAAUACAUGCAUUGAUACAGCAUGUUAAUGCAUAAUAUAUGCAGCAUGUUGUAGACAAACCUGAGUUUACUGGUUAGACUUCUAGAAAUUGGCUCACAAUCAUAUUCUUAACUGAGUUUUGAACACAGAAAGUGGGGGGGGGGAAGUCACAUUUCCUCUGCUCCUUGCUUCUGCAUUAGGCCGGCAAGUAAAGAUGGCUUAUGUGACCAGUGCAGCAAAGCCACCCAGAAGCAUUCGCCGACAACAGGGAAUCCGUGGAACAGCAGGAUCUGUCACCCAACUUCACCUCACAGAUAAGUGGAAAAAAAGGUCUCCAGAAAGCAGAGAUGGAAACAAUAAUUCAUCAAAUCUGAACUCUGCUAGCAGCAGUGGAAGCUCUAGCUCAAAUGGAAUGACUCAAGAUGGAAAGAAGCCUAUUAAAAAAAUUGCACCAAUCAUGAAGAAAACUUUAAAAGCAUUGAAGUGUAGAGCUGCACGGCGGUAAAAUUGAGGACGUGUAUGGGAAGCUUAUGGGAAUGUUUGUAUAUUGUGCUACAGUUAAUGGAAGUAAAAUUAAUGUUAACUUCCCAAUUUACCUUUGCAAAAAUAGUUGUUGUAUGCUGCAGGAGCAAAUGAUUUACAAUAAAAAAGAAACCCUGGA
Molecule: long non-coding RNA, 992 nt
Filed under: Chrysolophus pictus (golden pheasant)
Lineage: Eukaryota; Metazoa; Chordata; Aves; Galliformes; Phasianidae
Description: lncRNA (ENSCPIG00010000960.1)
Source: RNAcentral